RNAcentral lists this ribosomal RNA (253 nucleotides) under uncultured bacterium. Its description in RNAcentral is "partial 16S ribosomal RNA". It matches the Rfam family "Bacterial small subunit ribosomal RNA", at positions 524 to 776 of the family's 1533-position model. The record is from RNAcentral.
GACGUAGGGGGCCAGCGUUGUUCGGAAUUACUGGGUGUAAAGGGUUCGUAGGCGGUGUGGCAAGUCGGGGGUGAAAUCCCUCGGCCCAACCGAGGAACUGCGCCCGAGACUGCUUCUCUUGAGUCCCGGAGAGGAAGAUGGAAUUCCCGGUGUAGCGGUGAAAUGUGUAGAGAUCGGGAGGAACACCGGUGGCGAAGGCGGUCUUCUGGACGGUGACUGACGCUGAGGCGCGAAAGCGUGGGGAGCAAACGGG